RNAcentral lists this ribosomal RNA (516 nucleotides) under uncultured bacterium. Its description in RNAcentral is "bacterial SSU rRNA". It matches the Rfam family "Bacterial small subunit ribosomal RNA", at positions 28 to 521 of the family's 1533-position model. The record is from RNAcentral.
GAUGAACGCUAGCGACAGGCUUAACACAUGCAAGUCGAGGGGCGAGCGGGGUGUAGCAAUACACCGCCGGCGACCGGCGCACGGGUGAGUAAACGCGUGUGCAACUUGCCUAUCAGAGGGGGAGUAACCCGGCGAAAGUCGGACUAAUACCGCAUGAAGCAGGGGUCCCGCAUGGGGAUAUUUGCUAAAAGAAUUCAUCGCUGAUAGAUAGGCAUGCGUUCCAUUAGGCAGUUGGCGGGGUAACGGCCCACCAAACCGACGAUGGAUAGGGGUUCUGAGAGGAAGGUCCCCCACAUUGGUACUGAGACACGGACCAAACUCCUACGGGAGGCAGCAGUGAGGAAUAUUGGUCAAUGGGCGUAAGCCUGAACCAGCCAAAGUCGCGUGAGGGAUGAAGGUUCUAAUGGAUCGUAAAACCUCUUUUAAUAAGGGGAAUAAAAGUGCGGGGACGUGGUCCCGUUUUUGUAUGUACCCUUAUGAAUAAGGAUCGGCUAACUCCGUGCCAGCAGCCGCAGU